GGCAGACGGGUGAGUAACGCGUGGGAAUCUACCCAAUACUACGGAAUAGCUCCGGGAAACUGGAAUUAAUACCGUAUGUGCCCUACGGGGGAAAGAUUUAUCGGUAUUGGAUGAGCCCGCGUUGGAUUAGCUAGUUGGUGAGGUAAUGGCCCACCAAGGCGACGAUCCAUAGCUGGUCUGAGAGGAUGAUCAGCCACACUGGGACUGAGACACGGCCCAGACUCAAUACGGGAGGCAGCAGUGGGGAAUAUUGGACAAUGGGCGCAAGCCUGAUCCAGCCAUGCCGCGUGAGUGAUGAAGGCCUUAGGGUUGUAAAGCUCUUUCAGUGGGGAAGAUAAUGACGGUACCCACAGAAGAAGCCCCGGCUAACUUCGUGCCAGCCGCCGCGG
RNAcentral lists this ribosomal RNA (389 nucleotides) under uncultured bacterium. Its description in RNAcentral is "bacterial SSU rRNA". It matches the Rfam family "Bacterial small subunit ribosomal RNA", at positions 97 to 520 of the family's 1533-position model. The record is from RNAcentral.